AUCCUGGCUUAGGACGAACGACUGGCGGCGAUGCUUCAUACAUGCAAGUCGAACGAUAAGGUCUCUUCGGAGAUACAUAAGUGGCGGACGGGUGAGUAAUAUGUAGGAAAUCUGCCCUAGAGAGGGGGACAACAGAGGGAAACUUCUGCUAAUACCCAUAUGAGCGUACCUGAAAUGGUAUUCUUGAAAACUCCGGUGCUCUAGGAUGAGCCUGCAUCUGAUUAGCUAGUUGGCGGUGUAAUGGACCACCAAGGCGACGAUCAGUAGCUGGUUUGAGAGGAUGAUCAGCCACAAUGGGACUGAGACACGGCCCAUACUCCUACGGGAGGCAGCAGUAGGGAAUUUUGCGCAAUGGGCGAAAGCCUGAACCGCAGCAAUGCCGCGUGAACGUAGAAGCCCUUCGGGGUGUAAAGUUCUGUCAGUGGGGACGAAUAAUGACGGUACCCACAGAGGAAGCACCGGCUAACUCCGUGCCAGCCGCUGC
RNAcentral lists this ribosomal RNA (484 nucleotides) under uncultured bacterium. RNAcentral's name for it is "bacterial SSU rRNA". It matches the Rfam family "Bacterial small subunit ribosomal RNA", at positions 16 to 518 of the family's 1533-position model. The record is from RNAcentral.